Molecule: ribosomal RNA, 253 nt
Filed under: uncultured bacterium
Lineage: Bacteria
Description: partial 16S ribosomal RNA
Rfam family: Bacterial small subunit ribosomal RNA
Source: RNAcentral
UACGGAGGGGGCUAGCGUUGUUCGGAAUUACUGGGCGUAAAGCGCGCGUAGGCGGCUCUGCAAGUCGGGGGUGAAAUCCCGAGGCUCAACCUCGGAACUGCCUUCGAUACUGCGGGUCUCGAGUCCGGGAGAGGUGAGUGGAAUUCCUAGUGUAGAGGUGAAAUUCGUAGAUAUUAGGAAGAACACCAGUGGCGAAGGCGGCUCACUGGCCCGGUACUGACGCUGAGGCGCGAAAGCUAGGGGAGCGAACGGG